UGGGGAAUAUUGGACAAUGGGCGCAAGCCUGAUCCAGCCAUGCCGCGUGAGUGACGAAGGCCUUAGGGUUGUAAAGCUCUUUUGGCGGGGAAGAUAAUGACGGUACCCGCAGAAGAAGCCCCGGCUAACUCUGUGCCAGCAGCCGCGGUAAUACAGAGGGGGCAAGCGUUGUUCGGAAUCACUGGGCGUAAAGCGCACGUAGGUGGAUAGUUAAGUUCGGGGUGAAAUCCCAGGGCUCAACCCUGGAACUGCCUCGGAUACUGGCUAUCUCGAGUCCGGAAGAGGUGAGUGGAAUUCCUAGUGUAGAGGUGAAAUUCGUAGAUAUUAGGAAGAACACCGGUGGCGAAGGCGGCUCACUGGUCCGGUACUGACACUGAGGUGCGAAAGCGUGGGGAGCAAACAGGAUUAGAUACCCUUGUAGUCCCUGAGCGGGCUGGCAAGGCGCAU
Molecule: ribosomal RNA, 447 nt
Filed under: uncultured bacterium
Lineage: Bacteria
Description: bacterial SSU rRNA
Rfam family: Bacterial small subunit ribosomal RNA
Source: RNAcentral